This 2470-nucleotide long non-coding RNA is filed under the name Solanum tuberosum (potato). RNAcentral describes it as "long non-coding RNA (STUB_LNC000662)". The record is from RNAcentral. Lineage: Eukaryota; Viridiplantae; Streptophyta; Magnoliopsida; Solanales; Solanaceae.
AUUUUGAACUGAGUUUCACUCCCUUACUCUCUUCGUUGCUCUUUCGAGUUCGUGGAGGUUUAGAGUCGGUGGUGGAAGUCAGUUUCUCGCUCGUUGCCGUCCCCGUCGCUGCAUCGGAAAAGGUAAUGUCAUCGUCUUAUUAUUUCUCCUUCAAUGUAGCGUUCUUCUGAUUUACGGGAAUAAUCAUAGAUAGUCUUUGAUGAAGUCUCUUUGGGUGAUUAGGGUGCCAAUCUUUUGGGGUCUGUUGGUUCUAUAGAGUACUUUAGGACUAGUUAAAUCCUUACCUCAUUUUUCGCCUUGAAUAGUUCGAUAUUUAUUUGAUUUUCGGUUUGAGAAUGCUAGUUGUGUAGUCAUGUUCCUUCACUGUUUCGUUUUAUUCAAAAUAGUUUUAUGCUCAUUAUUUUGAGUGCAUUAGCGGUACAGUUCUACUCCUCCACUGUUCAUUUAUGCUCUUGGUUGUCUUCGCUAUCAUUCGGAACUUCCAUAUGCUUGCCUAAUUUUGUAGAAUCUAUCUCUGUUCUUGCACUGGAAUGUCUUCUUUGUCUUGUGUAUUUCAGCUAGCAGUUAUAUUGGUAGUCCACCAUAAUCUUGUUUAGACUUGGCUCCCUUGUUUAUUGUUAAUUCGCCUCCGAAAUGUGUCUUUUUCCUUUAUACGUUGGGCUGCUUUGAUUUUCGAAAUGAGGUUUUUAAAAAAAAAUAAUAAUAAUCUGUUUCUUGCCCUUUUCUUUCCAAGCAUAUCAUCUGUUUCUUGUCUCAUUUGGCUGCUAAUUUGAUUAAGAAAACUCCUAAGUAGCAUGCUCAAUAACAUAAAAACAGCUUUCAUCACUGCUUGCCCACUCUUUACCUAGAAUUUGAUCCCUCCGUAAGUGAUUAAUUUCGUUUGUUGCGUUAGAAUGUCAAGGUGAUAGUGUCUUAGAAACAUUGUGAAUGAUUACUUGUUCUGCAUUGCUAGUUUCCUUGUAGGAAUUGAGUCAAUAAUUAAAAGUGGUUAUUUAGAGUUAGAGUUUGACAAACAUUCAAUUGGUAGGUUCAUACUCAAAUCUGCUUAUUUUGAAUGCAUGCUCAUGUAUGGAAAAUGUGUUAAAAGUCUAUUGUAUUAUUUUGAUUUUGCUUGCUGCCAUCUCUUGUCAAAUUCCAAGGAUAGAAAUGUUUAGUCCUUUUUAGUGAUGAAUUGAGAAACGUGUCUCUGCAUGUUUUCCUUCAAAAGGACUAUUUGUCAAUUUGCACUUUCUUAGGCUAUACGCAUAUUAUUAGUUUAUCUCUUUUGGGAUUCAUUCAUCCGCCUUGUGCUCCUUGUCUUUUAUUUUGGUUAAACUUGUCCGUCGGUUUUGUUCUUUAAAUAAAUUUCCGUAAAAAUUAUUCUUGAAUUUAGUUCAUUUUAAUCUAUGGUUGUACGUUUACUACUAUCUAUGGGAUAUAAAUAUAUGUAUGUGAAACAUUUGUUUUCUCUAUGCUUUACUUAUUAAUUAUGUCAAUAUGCAGACCCAUAUGAAUGCAGCACCUCAAUCUUCUAACAUUAUAAUAAUAACAUUAAUUCAUGCCUAACAAUUACACUUCCAACCCAUUUCCAAUUUUAACACAUCAUUAUUCAGUGGUCAACAAUGUUUGUCCCAAUUUGCCAUCAGCUUUCACGUGGAAGCAAUUAUUAUACAUAUGUCCUUCAAAUUUCAUUUUAUAAUAUAAUAAUAUAUAUUUCUAUCAACUAUCAAUAUAUACAAUACAAUAGUAGAGCUUACCGAAUUUUAUAAACCUUUUUGUUUUAUUUUUUAUUUUUAUUUUUUUGUUUUUUGUUUUGUUCUCACUGUGAUGAUUAGGCGGUAGUGAUCAUUACUCUCCUUUAGUUUCUUUAAUUAAGUCAUGUGGGUCAUUACUCAUAAGUUUACUUGUUUUUGUUGCAUGUGAAAUCCGUCUAUGUCCUCAUGGACUCCCAUCUCCUUCUUGCAUUUCCUAUGGGGCCUUGGAGGCCCAAUCCCCUUUUAUUGAGUCGAUCAACCUUCAAAAUGGAAGAACAUAUCCUUGACGUGGGCAUACAGGGGUUUGGAGCUGAUACAGGAUUGUAUGCACUAGUACACGCCUAGUGUAUACGAAGAUGGGAAAAUGGGCCUAAAGGCCCCAAAAUUCAAAAUUUGUAUUUUGUUUUUGGGCCUAAGCCUUUAUCAUUUUGUUAUUAUCUGUUAGAAUUUAGGACAGGUGGAAGAUGGGCCUAAAACCCAAAGAAAUAAACUUCAAAAUCUAGUCUAGGACAGGUACUAAGGCGGCAAAAAAUUGGGCCAAAAGCCCAAAACGAAAAUGGGCCCAAGUGUUGGUCCAGACGGACAGAAAACCAAACUUGGGCCCGAGUCUCUUUCCCUCUCUAAUUUAUUGUGCUUAUUUACUUGUUAAUAUUUGUUGUUUAAUCUUAAAGUCGAAAAAAUUCAAAUCCCCGAAAGACGCCUAUUUUGAUUUAAUAAUUUAACUAAAUCAGUCAUCU